GUCAUUUGCCAUUGUACAAACAUUUAAAGCACAUUGUACAAACAUCUUAAGCACAAAUGUGUUGAAAAUACCUUUUCAACACACCUAGAACUCUGUUGGGCGGGAUUUCAAAAUUCAAACACCCAUUGUCAGAUCUAUCUUUUCUUCAUCUAAUCUACACGCCUCUCUCUCCUUUUCUCUUGCUUUUUCCUCUUUUCUCCUAAAUCUCACGCUUUUUCCCUCUUUGUGUUGAACACCGAUGAUGGAAGAAAUCCCAUUCGUUUCGCAGCUUAUAAACACCGAUUUGAAGAAAUCCCCACCGAUUUGCAGGUUUGUUCUCGCACGUGGCACUUUCGGCACCGUCACCUCCUCUCAAAUUUCACUUUCGGUUGAACAGCGGCAGUGACAAUUAGGGUGUUAAGAUCUAGGGUUCCGACAAAAACGGAGAUGGUUACAGUUGGAUUUCAUAUUCUGGUGGCGAUGACUAGAUUAUUGAUGAGGUUUUGGUUGGAAUUCGCGACUGCAUGCUCAAGUUUAGGAAAACAAGGGUUUGGUAAGUAGAGAUUCCGGAGAUAUAUGGCAUAAACAAGCUUUCUAUAACAACAAGAAGUAGAAGGCGGAGGUGCUGCUAGGCCCCAACUGUACAAGAUUUGAUAUUUAAAAGUGUAAUUAACACCGUUUCUAUGGGCAAAUGAGUCUGGCCUUGGAAAGUAAGACAAUUAUGUUUGUUAUUUUUACAGGAGAUGUUGAUAAUUUAUGGGAGAUUGAGAAAUUGAGAUCAGGAUUGAUGAAAACUCACACAAUUGGUCAUGGGUUUAUCAUGUGCAAAGGUGUUAAUCAUUCAUAUCAUAUUUUGUUUCAGACACGUAUUUAAUUCAUCAUUUGUGUUCUUUAUUUUUAGGGGUUUCUAUAAUUUGUCAGAGCUACUGGACAUAAAUAUGGAUUCUGCCCAAUGACAACGUUUCAGGUUCAUGAAUAUUUUAGGCCUAAGGUUAUGUUGAAGUUGGGUGAUAUACAUAAAAACAAAUUUCAUACAAGAUAAAACAAGGGGAAGCUUUGUCUCUUGUGUCCUGCCUAAAAAGAGGUAGAAUCUCAUAUCUAAAUAGCAUAUGUUACUGUAAAAGGAGGUUUUUCUAGAGAGUUUAAUUAAUGUGUUGCAUGACUGGCUUGAAUUAAUAGAGGUUUCAGUUAAAAAGAAGCAGGUAGAAUGCCUUUUCACUUAAAAAGAAGCGGGUCGAAUACUUUUUCGCUUAAAAAGAAACGGGUCGAAUGCUUUACCGCUAAAAAAGAAGCGGGUAGAAACCUUUUUUGCUUAAAAAGAAACGGGUCGAAUGAUUUUUUCGCUUAAGAAGAAGCGGGUCAAAUGCUUUCUUGCUUAAAAAGAAACAGGUCGAAUGCCAUUUCGCUUAUAAAGAAGCGGGUCGAAUACUUUUUCGCUUAAAAAGAAACGGGUCGAAUGCUUUACCGCUAAAAAAGAAGCGGGUAGAAACCUUUUUUGCUUAAAAAGAAACGGGUUGAAUGAUUUUUUCGCUUAAGAAGAAGCGGGUCAAAUGCUUUCUUGCUUAAAAAGAAACAGGUCGAAUGCCAUUUCGCUUAUAAAGAAGCGGGUCGAAUGCUUUUUCGCUUAAAAAGAAGCGGGUCAAAUGCUUUUUUGAUUAAAAAGAUACGGGUCGAUUGCUUUUUCAAUUAAAAAGAUAUGGGUCGAAUGCUUUUUCACUUAAUAUGAAUCAAGGUGAUCCAUCUGGCAGAGGUUUGGGAUUUAGUUACGUUCGCACGGCUCCAAAGGCACCGGUUUCCAAGCCGACAGUCUAUGCAAAACAUGGAAAUGGUGCUUAUAUUAUCAUCAUAUGUCUUUAUGUUGAUGAUAUGAUCUAUACCAGUUCUUCUACAAAAAUUUUGCUUGAAUUAAAACAAAAAAUGGUCACUGAGUUCGAAAUGACAGACAUUGGGAAGCUAACAUACUUUAUGGGACUAGAAGUACAGCAAAGAUCAGAUGGCAUUUACUUGUCUCAAAAGCAAUAUGCUAAGGAUAUAUUGAACAGGUUUGGAAUGGCUUCAUGCAAGUGUAGCCGUUACAAUCCCGCGCAGAGUCAGUCAAAUAAGUUAUUCGAUGACAACGGACACAGAAAUUAUGGUGGAUCUGAAGGCAGCAGAGGUGGAUAUGAAAAUCAACGGCCGUGAUGCAAUAGGAUUCCGGCAGGUAUUUGGGUGACCAGAGUAUGACGUUCUAGCUUUUCCCAAUGAUAUAUAUAACUUCUGUUCAGAUUUUACCUUAUUUGAAAUCUUGGGGCUUCCAUUUUAAGUUUUUCCUAAUUUUAUAAUUUUGGAGGAUACGUAACUUGCAUUUUGUAGGGUGGAUUUUGGAUCAGACUUUGUUUGGUUCAAAAACUGAAUUGUUUUGUUUGUAUCUGUGUUAAUUGUUUGGUGCUUAAAACCUACUGGAUUUGUAUCAGUUGAGUUUUGACUUUUAAGUCAUGAAAGAGUUUUUGAACA
Long non-coding RNA from Helianthus annuus (common sunflower), 2472 nucleotides. RefSeq lists it as uncharacterized. Lineage: Eukaryota; Viridiplantae; Streptophyta; Magnoliopsida; Asterales; Asteraceae. The record is from RefSeq and is a predicted model, not a curated record. The transcript has 5 exons.